This is a long non-coding RNA of Callithrix jacchus (white-tufted-ear marmoset), 2146 nucleotides long. NCBI's taxonomy places the organism in Eukaryota, Metazoa, Chordata, Mammalia, Primates, Cebidae. The record is from Ensembl.
UGGGUGUAGUGUCAUGUGCCUGUAGUCCCAGCUACUUGGGAGACUAAGGCAGGAGAAUCUCUUGAACCUGAGAGGCAGAGGUUGCAGUGAGCCAAAAUCAUGCCACUGCACUCCAGCCUGGUGACAGAAUGAGAUUCCAUCUCAAAAAAUAAAUAAAUAAAUAAAUAAAUAUAAAUUUUAAAAACGAUAAAAUAAGAAGCAUUCUGCAUACUUCGUGCAGCAAUUCUGCCACAGCCCCUAACGACGGCCACUUCUCAUUCCAAAUCCUGCCCUACGUUUUUCCUGUUUCAGGUUCAGUUUCAGUUUUAGAAUAAAUGAUUAAUCCAAUUCACCUGGAGCAAACGGCAGGAGACAUCCUGCUUUGGUUGUAAUAAAAUUUCAUUGCAAAUGCACUGAUCAAAGUCACAGUGAAAUAUUACAGGGUCUAGAGACCCAAGAGAAUACAACCAAGAAUAAAGGAAACAAAAAAACUGUUUGGAACCCCGUUCUGGGAAGAACGUUACCUUCAGACGCUGUCAUGGAUAUGCCUCAGUCCUUAUACUCAUGCUAGUGCAUUCGUCAGUUUUCACACUGCUAUAAAGAAAUACCCAAGACUGGGUCACUUGUGAAAGACGGAGGUUUAACUGACUGGCAUUUCUGUGUCACUGGGGAGCCCUCAGGAAACUUACGAUCAUGGCAGAAGGGGAAGCAGGCACCUCUUACACGGUGAGAGAGAGCGUGUGUGAAGGAGGAACCCUCAGACACUUCUAAAACUGUCAGGGAUCUUCUGAGAACUCACUCAUUGUCAGGAGAACAGCACUGGGGGACCGUCCCCAUGAUCCAAUCACCUCCUUCCCUCUACAGGUGGAGAACGACUAGGCUGAAACCGAGGGCCACUGAAGCACAUGCUAGAAAUAUUAAGUCUGGGCAUCUGGUUCGAAUUCAUUUCAGUGGCAGAAGAGUCUUAUCAAUUACAUGCUCAAAAAGAAUCAACAAUAUCACUGUAGAACACAGAGAGGCCAAGCAUUAUUUACCUCGGUGGACUGAGGUAACCUCAGCUCCAGAGAUCUGCAACUCAACCCGAGCACGGCCGUCUUUGGCUCAGAAAACCUUGUCCAGUUUUCAGCACGCAGACCGUGUAUGCAUCUGGUGUAUCCCAAAUGAAAUGGAAACCACCACGUUGUUACAAAAAGCUUGGUGCUGUGGUGAGCAAGUUCCUGGCUAUCAACUCCAGGGUACCAGAGUGAAGGGGUAAGAGUCCAGGCACCAGGCUUGAAGACACAUUGGAACGAAGUAAACGCCCUUCUGACAACCAUGGGUGUUGCAGCCAAACCCUUUCUGAUCCUAGCCUCCUCGUCUGUAUGAAGGGCUGCCAAGGAGGUAGCAUGAGCUAUGCACGUAGUACUUGCCGCAAUAUUUACCACAGAGGAAGUCCUCUGCAAACAUUAGCUAUCGCAUUAUUAAAGCGCCUGCCGUUUUACGGUGACUUCCUCUUUUCACAUUAAUCUAUCUUAUUUUGCGAUCAUCCUGUUCAUGUUACAGACCUGAAAGCUGACAGAAGAUCACAAUUGCCACUACAGUACGUAUUCUACCCUUUGGUCGUUUAUUUUGGCACAGUCUAAAGCACUGGGCAGCACAUAGAAGAGUCCAGUAAAUCUUCGGCAAAUUAAGGAGACUGCACUAUUAAGAGCAUUAGCAUUCAUUCUGUAUUUUCUUUGCGCUGGGCCCCGUCCUAAGUGUUUUACAUGCUUGAACUCCGUUAAUCUUCACUAGCAGUCCUGAAAUGUAAAGACUGUAUGAAUGAAAUACAUUUUUUGAUGAAUUAAAAGAAUGCCAUUUUCGUUGCCAUAGCAACACAGGUCUGAAAAUAUGAAUCCGAUUUUAGAAGACAUAAUCACUGUUUUCUCUUGUUUUCUACCUCGGUCUUAAUGUGCCGUUGAAGGUAUUUAUAUGAAAAUAGCUACAGCAUGGGUCCUGCCCCCAAGGAGAUUUUUAUCAUUGAUAUCACUGCUUCCCAAGAUUGCAAGUGGUUGUUCUAGAAUAUAGAUCCCCAAAAAUUUGGUAGAGCAGCAGUUCAUGCAAUAAGGCACCCAGACCCAGGAUGUUCUUGGUAACAUUUCAGAGACCCGUAAAACCAAAGGAAGAAAGUUGGCGGGUAGUUGGGAAA